GACAUAAAUGGCUUAAUCAUGGCCACGAACGAAUGCUAUCUAGUUGUUUGACACAUGCAAGUUAAUGUAAAACUGCUUUAUUUCUAGAGCAGACACAUAGCGUAUUGGAGAGUAUAAAUUAGAAUGCUAACUCUAGAUAACCUUAUAAGUUAUAAUUAUCAUUUGAUACAAAGGAUCUUAUCUGUCUAGAGAUGCUUUUAAUCCACAGCAGUUAGUUGGUGAGGUAAUGGCUUACCAAGACAAUGACUUGUAGGUAAGGCUGAAAGUCUCAAUAUCCUCAGUGGAGAAUGAAAAGUCCCACAACAUCAUUUGAUGUGCAGCAGUGAAGAAUCAUCGUCAAUGAUCGAAAGAUUGAACGUGCAAACUAGAAUUCUAUUAAGCAUAAGUUUAUAGAAUGUAAUUUAACAGAAUAGUGAUUAGUUAUUUUACUAGUGGAAACCAAUUUCGGUGCCAGAAGUUUCGGUUAGACCGAUUCCGCAAGCAUUGUUCGUUAUGAAUUGGCGUAAAGGGUACGUAGAUUGUUGACUUGCAUACUGAUUCCUUGUUUUUACUCCUUUAUUUUAUUCGCCCAGCCGAGCUGGGCGCUUAUUUUCUAACUAAAAAUAAAAAAUAAAAUAAAGGCCAAAACCAGAGAGACAGAUGAAGGUUAACUAGAAUCCGAUAGAAGUAAUCAGAAUUUCAAAAGUAGCGCUGAUAUGCUUUGAUAUUUGAAGGACUACCAAUGGCGAAGGCAGAUUACUAAUUAGAGAUUGACAUUGAGGUACGAAAGCGUAGGUAGCAAACAGAAUUAGAUACUCUGGUAGUCUACGCUGUAAACGAUGAGUGUUAGUACUCCUUCUUUUUUUCUGGGGAUACUUAGCAAACGUAAUAAACACUCCGCCUGGAAAGUACAGUCACACGACAGAACACCAAAUGAUUAGACGGUCUCGAAAACCCGUAGUGAAGCAUGACGCUUAAUGCGAUAACCCGCGCAUAACCUUACCUACAUUUGAAUCUCAUGAUCUUCCAGGAUUUCUUGGAAAAUUAAGAAGACAGGUGCUGCAUGACCCUCUUCAGCAUGUGCCUUAUGGUGCUUGGUUUGAUCCGCUAACAUGCGCAAUUCUUACCUUCUCUAAGUAAACAAAGAAGGACUACAGUUGAUAUAACUGUAAAUUAGAGCUAAGAGAGGUCCCUAUGACCCUCAUGUGUAGGGCUGCCGUUGUGCUGCGAAGAGUUUAACAAUAUGAUGCAACAUUGUGAAAUAGAGCUAAUCAUCAAAUAAACUCACACGGAUUGUAGUCUGCAAUCGACUACAUGAAAUAGGAAUUACGAGUAAUCGUGUAGUAGUGCGACACGGUGAAAAUAAAAUUCGAGAUGUACUAAUUACUCGUCAAAUCUGGAAAUAGAUUAAAUUGUGAAACUGGAUGAUGUACAUGACGAUAUUCAUUCUCUCUUUUGUCGCUGGGCGACAAAAGCUAGUUGAGAGCAGGAAGAUACUCGUUAUCUUCUAGUAUUUAUUAUCACAGUGUAAUACUUUUGUUAGCAGUUUACCUUAAUCGAGAUUAAGUCGAAAUAUAGGAGUGGCAGGGGAACCUGCUGCUGAACAAUACAAAUU
Molecule: ribosomal RNA, 1594 nt
Filed under: Microbotryum lychnidis-dioicae
Lineage: Eukaryota; Fungi; Basidiomycota; Microbotryomycetes; Microbotryales; Microbotryaceae
Description: SSU rRNA
Rfam family: Bacterial small subunit ribosomal RNA
Source: RNAcentral